This 252-nucleotide unclassified non-coding RNA is filed under the name uncultured Paenibacillaceae bacterium. RNAcentral describes it as "contains 16S-23S intergenic spacer region". It matches the Rfam family "Bacterial small subunit ribosomal RNA", at positions 524 to 776 of the family's 1533-position model. The record is from RNAcentral. Lineage: Bacteria; Bacillati; Bacillota; Bacilli; Caryophanales; Paenibacillaceae.
UACGUAGGGGGCAAGCGUUGUCCGGAAUAAUUGGGCGUAAAGCGCGCGCAGGCGGCCGUUUAAGUCUUGUGUUUAACCCCGGGGCUCAACCUCGGGACGCACGGGAAACUGGGUGGCUUGAGUGCAGGAGAGGGAAGCGGAAUUCCACGUGUAGCGGUGAAAUGCGUAGAGAUGUGGAGGAACACCAGUGGCGAAGGCGGCUUUCUGGCCUGUAACUGACGCUGAGGCGCGAAAGCGUGGGGAGCGAACAGG